RNAcentral lists this ribosomal RNA (257 nucleotides) under uncultured bacterium. RNAcentral's name for it is "partial 16S ribosomal RNA". It matches the Rfam family "Bacterial small subunit ribosomal RNA", at positions 524 to 776 of the family's 1533-position model. The record is from RNAcentral.
UACGUAGGGGGCAAGCGUUGUCCGGAAUCAUUGGGCGUAAAGCGCGUGUAGGCGGCUGGCUAAGUCCGCUCUAGAAAGCCCGGGGGCUCAACCCCCGGGAGGCGGGUGGAUACUGGUCAGCUCGAGUCCGGAAGAGGAGUGUGGAAUUCCUGGUGUAGCGGUGAAAUGCGCAGAUAUCAGGAGGAACACCAAUGGCGAAGGCAGCACUCGUGGGACGGUACUGACGCUGAGACGCGAAAGCGUGGGGAGCAAACAGG